Molecule: non-coding RNA, 69 nt
Organism: Rattus norvegicus (Norway rat)
Lineage: Eukaryota; Metazoa; Chordata; Mammalia; Rodentia; Muridae
Source: Rfam
GGGGAUUUAGCUCAGUGGUAGAGCGCUUGCCUAGCAAGCGCAAGGCCCUGGGUUCGAUCCCCAGCUCCU